AUGACUUCAAACCUGCCUAAAAUACUCGUGUGGAACGUGCGAGGACUCAAUUCGCCGGCUAGAAGGAAUGCGGUGUACCAAGUAGUUGUGGCUGCAAAUGUGAGCAUUGUAUGCCUCCAAGAAACCAAAAUGGAGUCCAUCUCCAUUAAUGUGGUUAGACAUUGCCUGGAUAAUAAAUUCGAGCAUUUUUACUAUGUGCCUGCGGUGGGCACACGCGGUGGUAUCUUGAUCGCUUGGGACAGCCUAGUGGUCUCACUCUCAAACAGGCACGUAACGGCGAACACGCUCACGGCUCUAGUCUCGCAGGAAGGGAAACCACAUUGGUGGCUAACCGGGGUGUAUGGCCCUCAGAGUGAUGUGGCCAAAGUAGAUUUCAUGACGGAGUUGAGGGAUAUACGGGAUCUUCACGUUGGGCCUUGGGUGCUGCUGGGAGAUUUUAACCUUUUAAUCUCCAUGGACGACAAGAACAAGCCUACCACGAACAGAAGGAUGAUGGCGAGGUUCCGCGCUCUGAUAAAUAGGCUUGAACUAAAGGAACAAUACCUGAAUGGAAGAAGAUACACUUGGAGUAACGAACAAAGAGACCUGACACUCGAGAAGAGCGACCAUGUGUUUGUCACCAACACAUGGGAAGACGUAUAUCCAAACAGCUUGCUCACUGCUCUGGGCUCAUCAGUGUCAGAUCAUUGCCCUCUUCUACUGGAUACGGAUGCUGAAUUCCAUCUAGGCAAGCGUGCUUCUGGCCCAAGGUGGAAGGGUUUUUGGACAUGGUCCAGGAGGCAUGGGACUCGAUUCAGUCGGUGGGGAAUCCGUUUACUGUGCGGGACAAUAAGCUACACGCCACUGCAAAGGCACUGCAAUCAUGGAGCGACAGGUGGAUUGGAAAAAACUCGCCUGCAAAUAGCCUUAGCCAUGGAGGUCAUUGCUAGACUAGAUGCCGCCUCGGAUAAGAGGCCGUUGGAGGAUCAGGAACACGGUCUUCGCAAGCUGCUCAUAAGGAAAUUGUUAGGGCUGUGCUCGCUGGAGAGGACCAUUGUGCGGCAGCGAUCGCGUUUUCUGCAGCUGAGGGAAGGAGAGGCCAACACAAAGUACUUCCAGCGACAUGCGAGGCACAGACAACGCAAGAACGUCAUCACGGCUAUCCAGGCCAACGGGGAAACACACACGGGUCAGGAGGAUAUAGCUAAGGCGGUUGAUGACUACUAUGGGCGGCUGUUCGGCUCGACGAGAGCAAGGGAGAUGACGAUCAACCUUGAUGUGCUGGAUUUGCCGACCCAUGAUCUAGAGCGGCUGGAGGUACAAUUCGAGGAGGAGGAAGUUUUCAACAUCAUUAAGUCAAUGCCUCUUGACAAGGCGCCAGGCCUGGACGGGUUUACCGGGCGUUUCUUUGCCACUUGCUGGCAUGUGAUCAAAGCCGAUUUCAUGAGGGCGCUGGACCACUUCCAUAGAGGGGAUAUUAGGGGAAUGGCUGCUAUCAACAAAGCCAUUGUCACAUUGCUACCUAAGAAGCCAGGAGCGGUGGAUAUAAAGGACUUCAGAUUCAAUCAAAGUAAUUAA
This 1557-nucleotide ribosomal RNA is filed under the name Triticum aestivum (bread wheat). RNAcentral's name for it is "partial small subunit ribosomal RNA". The record is from RNAcentral. Lineage: Eukaryota; Viridiplantae; Streptophyta; Magnoliopsida; Poales; Poaceae.